GCAGGAUUAGCUCAGCGGUUAGAGCGUGCGAUUGCAACUAGGCAGUAAUCGCGAGGUCCUUGGUUCAAUUCCGAGAUCUUGCU
This is a non-coding RNA of Clavulina sp. PMI_390, 83 nucleotides long. NCBI's taxonomy places the organism in Eukaryota, Fungi, Basidiomycota, Agaricomycetes, Cantharellales, Hydnaceae. The record is from the annotation of a GenBank genome assembly.